Molecule: unclassified non-coding RNA, 345 nt
Filed under: Hevea brasiliensis (rubber tree)
Lineage: Eukaryota; Viridiplantae; Streptophyta; Magnoliopsida; Malpighiales; Euphorbiaceae
Source: RNAcentral
GGGGAAGCCAUUGGAGGAGGCGAUGUCACGUUACUAGGAGGCGGCGAUGUCACGUUACUUGGAGUAGGCGAUUGUGGUAGUGUUGGUAAGGCCGGGGGAGGAGAAGAUUGUGGGGGUAAUGUUGGAGGAAGAGAAGACACGGGUGGUGCUGUCGCAUUAGGCUGAGAUGCAGGGGGCGGAGAAGAAAGCUGAGGAGGUGGACUCAAGACAAUUGGUGGGACAGGAAUUGGUGCAAGACUUGGAGGUGGAGAAACUACUACUGACAUUUCACCACCACCAAAAACUUGCUAAAUUUACACCAUUUCUUCGAUACUGUCAAACUCUCCAAACACCAAUCAAAUUUAG